This 547-nucleotide ribosomal RNA is filed under the name uncultured bacterium. Its description in RNAcentral is "bacterial SSU rRNA". It matches the Rfam family "Bacterial small subunit ribosomal RNA", at positions 355 to 896 of the family's 1533-position model. The record is from RNAcentral.
UGGGGAAUAUUGCACAAUGGGGGGAACCCUGAUGCAGCCAUGCCGCGUGAAUGAAGAAGGCCUUCGGGUUGUAAAGUUCUUUCGGUGACGAGGAAGGUUGGUAGGUUAAUAGCCUAUCAAAUUGACGUUAAUCACAGAAGAAGCACCGGCUAACUCCGUGCCAGCAGCCGCGGUAAUACGGGGGGUGCGAGCGUUAAUCGGAAUAACUGGGCGUAAAGGGCGCGCAGGCGGUGACUUAAGUGAGAUGUGAAAGCCCCGAGCUUAACUUGGGAAUUGCAUUUCAUACUGGGUCGCUAGAGUACUUUAGGGAGGGGUAGAAUUCCACGUGUAGCGGUGAAAUGCGUAGAGAUGUGGAGGAAUACCGAAGGCGAAGGCAGCCCCUUGGGAAUGUACUGACGCUCAUGUGCGAAAGCGUGGGGAGCAAACAGGAUUAGAUACCCUGGUAGUCCACGCUGUAAACGAUGUCGAUUUGGGGAUUGGGCUUUGAGCUUGGUGCCCGUAGCUAACGUGAUAAAUCGACCGCCUGGGGAGUACGGCCGCAAGGUUA